Molecule: long non-coding RNA, 1062 nt
Filed under: Triticum aestivum (bread wheat)
Lineage: Eukaryota; Viridiplantae; Streptophyta; Magnoliopsida; Poales; Poaceae
Description: long non-coding RNA (TAES_LNC006775)
Source: RNAcentral
CUGAUUAGACCUGGCUUGCUCUGACCUGGUGAGUGAUGGCCUGCUCUGUUCACUCGAUUCGGCACUGUAGGUGAAACCUUCACCUUUUCUUCAUUUUGUUCCAAACAGAACAAUGGGGUUCAAUCCAGGUCAAGUUUCCCCUCUCCUCGCCUCUCCUCUUAUUAGCAAGCUCUGUUUGUUAUUUUGUGUGUGCUUUGGAUAUUAUUUUUUUGACGAAAAGACGGCCCUAGGGCCGUAUUUCAUUGAUUAAUCAGGAGAGGCAGAAUACAAAGUCUGAGAGACAAAAAGAAGGUGGAGCUGGCAUCCAAAAAGAAAACACUCAGCAACAAACAAGGGGAAAAUCAAGGUGGUUCAAAUAUUCUGUCGAGCAAGCUAUAAGCCCAGCCGCUGACCAACAUCUUGCCUCAUCCAUGAUUCGUCCCAUGAGUUGUGGAGCGCAGCAUAUGUCAGCAUUGAACACACGGUUGUUUUUGUUCCUUCCAUAUCAUCCAGGAGACCAAGCAAAUGGCCUGACUUCCAUUCUUUCAUCUUAUUAGCUGGGAGCAACUGCAGUUGCAUCAUCCAAUUGUUUUUGAGAUGAAGGCAUUGCUGAUGGGAGUUUACCAUUGGCGCUAGGUUGAGAAAAAGUCCCCCAAGCUUGCUGAUGGCCAUCAUCCAGAGCUGCUUUGGAUACUUAAACGAUGUUAUUUGGGCUGCUGACUCCUACGUUGCAUGGAUACUUGGAUACGUAUCGGAUACACGAUACGGGGAUACGCCCGAUACGUCAAUUUUCUAAAAACAUGGAUACGGGGAUACGUUUAUGUAUAGAUGUUACAUAUAUUAAUUAUUACAAAUAUGAAGAAAAAAAUUAAGGAGCUUCUAGAUCAAAGCAUGCCUCAAUACGAUUACCCCUUUCUUUUCUUGCACUUAGUCCACUUCCAUUAAUUGGCAGUGAGAUUUGACUAGGUUUGUUGUUUCAAUCAAUGCAUCGACUCUCUCUUGCUCACCUUUCAAUUGAAUAAAAAACAUUGACAUACAUGUUUUCACAUGAACUCACGCCCAUGUUGGGAAUCUUCAAAGGUG